AAAAAUUUGGGGAGUAGCCAUGCGAGUUGAUGGGAUACCUAAACUUCCCAUAGCAAACUGCUUAGUAACACAUGAUCAACUUGCCCUAUGGAGAAAAAUAACCUCGGGAAACUGAGGAUAAUGUUUCAUAGUUGAAUAGGCUUGGAAAAGUUUUUCAAUGAAAGGGAUAAGAUAAAUGGCUCUUAUUUGCCAUAGGAUAGGAUCGUGCUCGAUUAUGGUAGUUGGUGAGGUAACGGCUCACCAAGCCGAUAAUCGAUAGGGGCCGUGAGAGCGGGAGCCCCAAGAUGGGUACUGAGACAGCGACCCAGGCCUUACGAGGCGCAGCAGGCGCGAAACCUCCGCAAUACACGAAAGUGUGACGGGGUUACCCAAAGUGUUCUCUUUAGAACUGUGGUAGGUGAGUAAUCUCCCCUACUAGAAAGGAGAGGGCAAGGCUGGUGCCAGCCGCCGCGGUAAAACCAGCUCUUCAAGUGGUCGGGAUAAUUAUUGGGCUUAAAGUGUCCGUAGCCGGUUUAGUUAGUUCCUGGUAAAAUCGGGUAGCUUAACUAUCUGCAUGCUAGGAAUACUGCUAUACUAGAGGGCGGGAGAAGUCUGAGGUACUACAGGGGUAGGGGUGAAAUCUUAUAAUCCUUGUAGGACCACCAGUGGCGAAGGCGUCAGACUGGAACGUGCCUGACGGUGAGGGACGAAAGCCAGGGGAGCGAACCGGAUUAGAUACGUCGGUGCUAGAAUAAUAAAAUAACUAACACCAUGCUAAAAACCCGGGUAGUCCUGGCCGUAAACGAUGCAUACUAGGUGAUGGUACGGCCAUGAGCCGUAUCAGUGCCGUAGGGAAACCGUUAAGUGUGCCGCCUGGGAAGUACGGUCGCAAGGCUAAAACUUAAAGGAAUUGGCGGGGGAGCACCACAAGGGGUGAAGCCUGCGGUUCAAUUGGAUUCAACGCCGGG
Molecule: ribosomal RNA, 947 nt
Filed under: uncultured archaeon
Lineage: Archaea
Description: bacterial SSU rRNA
Rfam family: Archaeal small subunit ribosomal RNA
Source: RNAcentral